Molecule: ribosomal RNA, 321 nt
Filed under: Triticum aestivum (bread wheat)
Lineage: Eukaryota; Viridiplantae; Streptophyta; Magnoliopsida; Poales; Poaceae
Description: partial small subunit ribosomal RNA
Source: RNAcentral
AUGCCGACGGCAUACCUCUACCACGUGGCUUUCCGUGGUGCCUCCUGGUGGCAGGGCUAUGCCGACGGCAAAGCCGUAGGCAUAGCUGUGCCACGUGUCGUCCCUUGGUGCUCCGUCGGCAUAGAUGAAAAUCUAUGCCGACGACUUUGGCGUAGGCAUAGCCCUGCCACGUGGCACGCCCUGGGAAGCCCUGGGCUCAUCUAUGCCGACGGCUUUGCCGUAGGCAUAGAUUUUAUUAUUAUUAUUUUCCCUGUUUUCUCUUUUUCAAUUCAUUUGGACAACAUUUCAAAUCAGAAAAUAUGGGCUUAUGCAGAAAUAUGA